CGCGUCCAGAACUAGACACUCAGGGCACGAGGCCUCUUCUGGGGACCAAGCGGCUCGCAGCUAGCUGCCUGUCGCUGAUGCAAUCCGGGCAAAGAAAUGAUUCACUUCUAUCCUGCCAUCAGCCUCAGGAUUUUGGCCAAGUGCAGAUAUCGCGGGGACAUCUGCACCCCAAAGGACAUCGAGAAAGCACAGAAAAGUGUAAAGAAGCUGGGGAAGUCCCUCAUCGUCCCAUCACUCACACGCCAUUGUAAUGAUGGGUUUGGUAUUUUUCCACUCAGUUUUUUCUCUGCAUUUUUUUCGUGUUACAGCCAACUUUACAGUAUCUCUAUCAACACGUGCAAAGAAAUACUUAUGUAAAUGACAGGUGUGAACCACAGAUAGAAUUUUAAAUGUUUCAGUAGUCUGAUUAA
This 410-nucleotide long non-coding RNA is filed under the name Chinchilla lanigera (long-tailed chinchilla). RNAcentral describes it as "lncRNA (ENSCLAG00000024491.1)". The record is from RNAcentral. Lineage: Eukaryota; Metazoa; Chordata; Mammalia; Rodentia; Chinchillidae.